This 498-nucleotide ribosomal RNA is filed under the name uncultured bacterium. Its description in RNAcentral is "partial 16S ribosomal RNA". It matches the Rfam family "Bacterial small subunit ribosomal RNA", at positions 28 to 507 of the family's 1533-position model. The record is from RNAcentral.
GACGAACGCUGGCGGCGUGCCUAAUACAUGCAAGUCGAACGAGAGCGACCGGUGCUUGCACUGGUCAAUCUAGUGGCGAACGGGUGAGUAACACGUGGGUAACCUGCUCAUCAGAGGGGGAUAACAUCCGGAAACGGAUGCUAAAACCGCAUAGGUCUUCGAGCCGCAUGGCUUGAAGAGGAAAAGAGGCGCAAGCUUCUGCUGAUGGAUGGACCCGCGGUGCAUUAGCUAGUUGGUGAGGUAACGGCUCACCAAGGCCGUGAUGCAUAGCCGACCUGAGAGGGUGAUCGGCCACAUUGGGACUGAGACACGGCCCAAACUCCUACGGGAGGCAGCAGUAGGGAAUCUUCCGCAAAGGACGCAAGUCUGACGGAGCAACGCCGCGUGAGUGAAGAAGGUGUUCGGAUCGUAAAACUCUGUUGUUAGAGAAGAACAAGUGCUAGAGUAACUGUUAGCGCCUUGACGGUAUCUAACCAGAAAGCCGCGGCUAACUACGUG